UCCUGGGUAGCUCAGUGGUAGAGCGACCGGCUGUUAACCGGUUGGUCGGGGGUUCGAGUCCCUCCCCAGGAGCCA
This 75-nucleotide transfer RNA is filed under the name Thermoanaerobaculia bacterium. RNAcentral describes it as "tRNA-Asn". It matches the Rfam family "tRNA". Rfam says of the family: Transfer RNA (tRNA) molecules are approximately 80 nucleotides in length. Their secondary structure includes four short double-helical elements and three loops (D, anti-codon, and T loops). Further hydrogen bonds mediate the characteristic L-shaped molecular structure. tRNAs have two regions of fundamental functional importance: the anti-codon, which is responsible for specific mRNA codon recognition, and the 3' end, to which the tRNAs corresponding amino acid is attached (by aminoacyl-tRNA synthetases). tRNAs cope with the degeneracy of the genetic code in two manners: having more than one tRNA (with a specific anti-codon) for a particular amino acid; and 'wobble' base-pairing, i.e. permitting non-standard base-pairing at the 3rd anti-codon position. Lineage: Bacteria; Pseudomonadati; Acidobacteriota; Thermoanaerobaculia. The record is from RNAcentral.